Bombus terrestris (buff-tailed bumblebee) is the source of this 1646-nucleotide long non-coding RNA. RefSeq lists it as uncharacterized. The transcript is spliced from 3 exons. NCBI's taxonomy places the organism in Eukaryota, Metazoa, Arthropoda, Insecta, Hymenoptera, Apidae. The record is from RefSeq and is a predicted model, not a curated record.
AAUUAUAUCUUUUAUGUUCAUAGUUUAUUAAAAAGAAUGAGAUUUUUCAUCGAAAGAAGAUCGAAGAUUCUGUCAAAAGCUGAGUAUAGAAAACUUAAAGAAUAGAGAGAUGCGCGGUUUAUUACGAAACGACAUCACGAAAGAGUCUCUAGUUCAUUGUGGUUUCACGAACAAUUUUUGCAUUUGUCCCAGGCUUCCAAACCUUGGGAAUAAACUGCAUCACAUAAUUUCUGCAUAAUACACUGACAAUCAGGCUGUCAUCAUGUUUGUCAAAUUACAAUGAACUGUCAUUGUGCUUGUUGAAAAUCACCUUGACAUUAUGCAAUAACCAUGAAUUUUGAUGGUUUGGAAUUUUAUUAGUAUUUUGAUAUCUAGUAUCAUGAAAUUAUCAUAUAACUUUUAAUUAUAUCGAUAAGUUUCCUACUCUGCAUUGUUAUUUACAGAAGCUUCCGGGUGCAGUCCUUGUCCUUUUGGUAUCGAUUGUAUAUCCAGGUCGUGAAAGCCUCGAAGAUUUCUAUCUCCAUUCAAAUGUUUAAAUAUCACUUUCACUGUUCGAUAUGAUCAAAUGAUUUAUCUACGUUGAAUAAAACAAAGCAAUGAUUAGCAUCUGUAUGUUUUGCAGUUCUGACGGAAUCUAUAAUAGAAGCUUCAACGGAAGUGAUACGUUGAAUCUAUUUGAAACAUUUGAUACUUUCUAAAAGGAACAAAAUAUAAGAACGAUUUCUAUCUGUUUAAAAUUGUCAGUGGUUUGAAAAAUUUGCUAUCGUCAAUUUAUUAUUUUAUUUAUUGCCAAGUUACGGUAUAUUAUCCCCUAAAAUUAAUGUUUAUGUCAAGAGGGAUUGUUUUAGAUAUCCCGUGCUGUUAUUAGAAUUCGCAAGAGGAGGAAGAAUGCCAGAGGAAGUAGUCUAUGAACUUACGUUACGUACAUGCUUCCGUUAUUAGUUGUAAAUAACGGGUGAAAGCGCACACGUGUACACGUUUAAUUAUUGUAGGACAAAAAGCAAUUCUGGGGAGCAAUUGGCGAAGGAGGAUAAUCAAUAAAGUAUUGUUGCGUCUUGACGGUCCCGUAAUGGCGGUUAUUAAGUUACGGAUGAGAAGUAGCAGCUUCCGAUGUCGAAGAUACACGUAAAGUAUUAUAGAAAAGUGAGAAACGUUGUAGACGAGAAAUUAUACAGUAGAAUGAAAUAAUUAUAAUUAUGUUUGAAAGGCAAGGAAAGAUAAAAAUUAAUAAUAGUACUUAUACUAUAUGCAUAUAUUAGUAAUAGUCCUAUAACAGUUUGUAACAAUUCUAUGUAAAAAUAUCGUUGUAGUAUAGUCGUUGUAGUAAAUAUCUACAAGAAGGAGAAAUUUAUGAUAAGCAUACUUACUUAUUUUUCGUGUAUAUUUUUUACGUAUAUUUAUAAUUUUCUUAACUUGUAAUUUAUGUAAAUUUCAUGAUGCAUCGAGAUAUUAUUACAAUUACACUACGAAUACGAGGACAGAAAAUUAUCUGGACAAUUACCCUGUAAGACAAGGGGAAAAUUAAGCAGGCGACACGACAGGCAAAAUUGUAUUGUUUAAGGUGCUGUGACUUCCAUUUUCCGGUUUCCUGCGAUGAUUUAAUUCAUAAGACGUCUGUAACAAUCGGAACCUGAUUCGACGGAAAU